GUGGUAAUGCCGGAUGCUCCGGUUGGAUGCAUGUCCUUCCGGGAAAGGUUCCAUCGGUAUGGGAUGGGGUCGCGUCCUAUCAGCUUGAUGGCGGGGUAACGGCCCACCAUGGCUUCGACGGGUAGCCGGCCUGAGAGGGCGACCGGCCACAUUGGGACUGAGAUACGGCCCAGACUCCUACGGGAGGCAGCAGUGGGGAAUAUUGCACAAUGGGCGCAAGCCUGAUGCAGCGACGCCGCGUGCGGGAUGGAGGCCUUCGGGUUGUAAACCGCUUUUGAUCGGGAGCAAGCCCUUCGGGGUGAGUGUACCUUUCGAAUAAGCACCGGCUAACUACGUGCCAGCAGCCGCGGUAAUACGUAGGGUGCAAGCGUUAUCCGGAAUUAUUGGGCGUAAAGGGCUCGUAGGCGGUUCGUCGCGUCCGGUGUGAAAGCCCAUCGCUUAACGGUGGGUCUGCGCCGGGUACGGGCGGGCUGGAGUGCGGUAGGGGAGACUGGAAUUCCCGGUGUAACGGUGGAAUGUGUAGAUAUCGG
This 530-nucleotide ribosomal RNA is filed under the name Bifidobacterium dentium. RNAcentral describes it as "bacterial SSU rRNA". It matches the Rfam family "Bacterial small subunit ribosomal RNA", at positions 160 to 700 of the family's 1533-position model. Lineage: Bacteria; Bacillati; Actinomycetota; Actinomycetes; Bifidobacteriales; Bifidobacteriaceae. The record is from RNAcentral.